UACGUAGGGUGCAAGCGUUAAUCGGAAUUACUGGGCGUAAAGCGUGCGCAGGCGGUUUUGUAAGACAGGCGUGAAAUCCCCGGGCUCAACCUGGGAAUUGCGCUUGUGACUGCAAGGCUGGAGUGCGGCAGAGGGGGAUGGAAUUCCGCGUGUAGCAGUGAAAUGCGUAGAUAUGUGGAGGAACUACCGAUGGCGAAGGCAAGCCCCCUGGGACUGCACUGACGCUCAUGCACGAAAGCGUGGGGAGCAAACAGGAUUAGAAACCC
RNAcentral lists this ribosomal RNA (266 nucleotides) under uncultured bacterium. RNAcentral's name for it is "partial 16S ribosomal RNA". It matches the Rfam family "Bacterial small subunit ribosomal RNA", at positions 524 to 787 of the family's 1533-position model. The record is from RNAcentral.